Molecule: transfer RNA, 72 nt
Filed under: Camelus bactrianus (Bactrian camel)
Lineage: Eukaryota; Metazoa; Chordata; Mammalia; Artiodactyla; Camelidae
Also listed under: 2 other names
Rfam family: tRNA
About the family: Transfer RNA (tRNA) molecules are approximately 80 nucleotides in length. Their secondary structure includes four short double-helical elements and three loops (D, anti-codon, and T loops). Further hydrogen bonds mediate the characteristic L-shaped molecular structure. tRNAs have two regions of fundamental functional importance: the anti-codon, which is responsible for specific mRNA codon recognition, and the 3' end, to which the tRNAs corresponding amino acid is attached (by aminoacyl-tRNA synthetases). tRNAs cope with the degeneracy of the genetic code in two manners: having more than one tRNA (with a specific anti-codon) for a particular amino acid; and 'wobble' base-pairing, i.e. permitting non-standard base-pairing at the 3rd anti-codon position.
Source: Rfam by way of RNAcentral
GACUUUGUGGUACAGCAGUAGCACAUCUGAUUUUAGAUCAGAUAGUUGAGCAUUCAAAUCACUUUGGCGUCA